RNAcentral lists this ribosomal RNA (253 nucleotides) under uncultured bacterium. Its description in RNAcentral is "partial 16S ribosomal RNA". It matches the Rfam family "Bacterial small subunit ribosomal RNA", at positions 524 to 776 of the family's 1533-position model. The record is from RNAcentral.
UACGUAGGGGGCAAGCGUUGUCCGGAAUUAUUGGGCGUAAAGCGCGUGUAGGCGGCUCGGUAAGUCUGCUGUGAAAGUCCAGGGCUCAACCCUGGAACGCCGGUGGAUACUGUCGAGCUCGAGUCCGGAAGAGGCGAGUGGAAUUCCUGGUGUAGCGGUGAAAUGCGCAGAUAUCAGGAGGAACACCGGUGGCGAAGGCGGCUUUCUGGACAGUAACCGACGCUGAGGCGCGAAAGCUAGGGGAGCAAACAGG